This 681-nucleotide unclassified non-coding RNA is filed under the name Hevea brasiliensis (rubber tree). Lineage: Eukaryota; Viridiplantae; Streptophyta; Magnoliopsida; Malpighiales; Euphorbiaceae. The record is from RNAcentral.
CGGAAACGGAAGGAUACGGCUAAGAUAUGUUUCGAGACCGUAUCCGAAAUUUUCGAAAGAUGAAAACGCGUAUCCGACUCGGAAAAGCUUCUGUUACAAGAAAGGGAAAAUAAUUAGGUUAAAAAACCAGCCGCAUCGCACAACGGAGAAGAAGAAGAAGAACACGGAGAAGACGACUUACCUGGUCAACGGACGGCGGUGCAAGUGGUGGCUGGACCUGGAUCAUCUGGAUAUUUGAGUUACAGAUUUGAAGUAAUGCCUCCUCCAGAAUCCUGCAAACAGCAGUUAAAGAUCUGUAUAGAUGCUGAGCAUGCAAAAUGUAGCAUCUGCUUAAACAUCUGGCAUAAUGUUGUUACUGUUGCUCCUUGCCUUCAUAACUUCUGCAAUGGAUGUUUCUCAGAGUGGUUAAGGAGAUCACAGGAGAAACAAUCUACUGUGCUUUGUCCUCAGUGUAGGGCAGCUGUACAUUUUGUUGGUAGAAAUCACUUUCUGCAGAGCAUUGAGGAGGAUAUACUUCAAGCUGAUUCUUCAUUAAAACGUUCAGAUGAAGAAAUUACUCUUCUAGAUUCCUAUGCAUCAAUAAAAUCUAAUCUUGUCAUUCAAAGUGGUAAGAAGCGGGCACGUACAAAUGAUGUGGAAAGUGGAGAAGAACAUAUGGAGUUCCCAUGCCUUCAAUGUGGU